RNAcentral lists this ribosomal RNA (465 nucleotides) under uncultured bacterium. RNAcentral describes it as "bacterial SSU rRNA". It matches the Rfam family "Bacterial small subunit ribosomal RNA", at positions 338 to 795 of the family's 1533-position model. The record is from RNAcentral.
CCUACGGGCGGCAGCAGUAGGGAAUCUUCCACAAUGGACGCAAGUCUGAUGGAGCAACGCCGCGUGAGUGAAGAAGGUUUUCGGAUCGUAAAGCUCUGUUGUUGGUGAAGAAGGAUAGAGGUAGUAACUGGCCUUUAUUUGACGGUAAUCAACCAGAAAGUCACGGCUAACUACGUGCCAGCAGCCGCGGUAAUACGUAGGUGGCAAGCGUUGUCCGGAUUUAUUGGGCGUAAAGCGAGCGCAGGCGGAAGAAUAAGUCUGAUGUGAAAGCCCUCGGCUUAACCGAGGAACUGCAUCGGAAACUGUUUUUCUUGAGUGCAGAAGAGGAGAGUGGAACUCCAUGUGUAGCGGUGGAAUGCGUAGAUAUAUGGAAGAACACCAGUGGCGAAGGCGGCUCUCUGGUCUGCAACUGACGCUGAGGCUCGAAAGCAUGGGUAGCGAACAGGAUUAGAUACCCUUGUAGUC